GAUGAACGCUGGCGGCGUGCCUAAUACAUGCAAGUCGAGCGAACAGACGAGGAGCUCGCUCCUCUGACGUUAGCGGCGGACGGGUGAGUAACACGUGGAUAACCUACCUAUAAGACUGGGAUAACUUCGGGAAACCGGAGCUAAUACCGGAUAAUAUAUUGAACCGCAUGGUUCAAUAGUGAAAGACGGUUUUGCUGUCACUUAUAGAUGGAUCCGCGCCGCAUUAGCUAGUUGGUAAGGUAACGGCUUACCAAGGCAACGAUGCGUAGCCGACCUGAGAGGGUGAUCGGCCACACUGGAACUGAGACACGGUCCAGACUCCUACGGGAGGCAGCAGUAGGGAAUCUUCCGCAAAGGGCGAAAGCCUGACGGAGCAACGCCGCGUGAGUGAUGAAGGUCUUCGGAUCGUAAAACUCUGAUAUUAGGGAAGAACAAAUGUGUAAGUAACUAUGCACGUCUUGACGGUACCUAAUCAGAAAGCCACGGCUAACUACGUG
Molecule: ribosomal RNA, 497 nt
Filed under: uncultured bacterium
Lineage: Bacteria
Description: partial 16S ribosomal RNA
Rfam family: Bacterial small subunit ribosomal RNA
Source: RNAcentral